This 97-nucleotide small nucleolar RNA is filed under the name Exophiala mesophila. RNAcentral's name for it is "A. fumigatus snoRNA Afu_513". It matches the Rfam family "A. fumigatus snoRNA Afu_513". The record is from Rfam by way of RNAcentral. Lineage: Eukaryota; Fungi; Ascomycota; Eurotiomycetes; Chaetothyriales; Herpotrichiellaceae.
CCGAAUGAUGAAUGGCACUGGGCUCCGACAGCCAAAAUGGCUGGUCUUGAUGGAUAUGCCCUAUUGUGGCAGGCCUAGAAAACCUUGCCCACUGAUC